GCUUGUUGGUGGGGUAACGGCCUACCAAGGCGACAAUGUCUAGGGGCUCUGAGAGGAGAAUCCCCCACACUGGUACUGAGACACGGACCAGACUCCUACGGGAGGCAGCAGUAAGGAAUAUUGGUCAAUGGAGGGAACUCUGAACCAGCCAUGCCGCGUGCAGGAAGACGGCCCUACGGGUUGUAAACUGCUUUUGCACGGGAAUAACCCUCAUUAUGUAUAAUGAGCUGAAUGUACCGUGAGAAUAAGGAUCGGCUAACUCCGUGCCAGCAGCCGCGGUAAUACGGAGGAUCCGAGCGUUAUCCGGAAUUAUUGGGCUUAAAGGGUGCGCAGGCGGGGAUCUAAGUCAGGGGUGAAAGACGGUGGCUCAACCAUCGCAGUGCCUUUGAUACUGGAUUUCUUGAAUGUACCUGAGGUAGGCGGAAUGUGGCAAGUAGCGGUGAAAUGCAUAGAUAUGCCACGGAACACCGAUUGCGAAGGCAGCUUACCAAAGUAUGAUUGACGCUGAGGCACGAAAGCGUGGGGAUCGAACAGGAUUAGAUACCCUGGUAGUCCACGCCCUAAACGAUGAACACUCGAUGUCGGCGAUAGACAGUCGGCGUCCAAGCGAAAGCGUUAAGUGUUCCACCUGGGGAGUACGCCCGCAAGAUUAAAACUCAAAUG
RNAcentral lists this ribosomal RNA (663 nucleotides) under uncultured bacterium. Its description in RNAcentral is "bacterial SSU rRNA". It matches the Rfam family "Bacterial small subunit ribosomal RNA", at positions 244 to 907 of the family's 1533-position model. The record is from RNAcentral.